Populus trichocarpa (black cottonwood) is the source of this 4682-nucleotide RNA transcript. It is a transcript of the gene named mediator of RNA polymerase II transcription subunit 16, with no coding region annotated. The record is from RefSeq and is a predicted model, not a curated record. The transcript is spliced from 17 exons. NCBI's taxonomy places the organism in Eukaryota, Viridiplantae, Streptophyta, Magnoliopsida, Malpighiales, Salicaceae.
CCCUUUUUCGUCUCUCAAAUCAAAAUCAAGCAAGAAAAACCCACUACCAAGAACACCCAAUAACACGAAAAAGGCCUUGCUUUUGACAUAAGCAAGAACCAGGAGAGAGGAAAUACCUCUCCUUUCUCCCUCUAACAAGGCGAGUAAGGAAACACCUGAUGGAAUCUCAGUCUCUCACUCCUUGUCCCUCUUCCUUGAAACAAAAACCCUAAAAAACUAAAAUCAAAAAAGAAAACCCAAAAUCCCACACUAGCCCCACUCUCUCUCCCCACUCUAAACAGUCAGUCAUACCUGUCGCCUUCAAUUGUGACUUUUGCACCACUAGCAACAUUCACUUCUCUUUUUUUCUAUAUAAAGAUUCGGUUUUUAUUUUUCAAAAAUGACUUCUUCUUCUUCUAUUAAGGAGACGACGGAGGAGGAACAGGUUGCGCCGGAUAUUGUGCCGGCUGACGGUGGUGUUGCUGGAGUGGAGAAGACUGAGCCUGUCAGCAGUGGCGGGGAGGAAGAGAGUGGUGGCGAGAAACUUGACGAUUCAAUGGAAGAGGACUCAGUGAGUCCGGCUACUGUGUUUUGUAUUAGGCUGAAGCAGCCACGGUCGAAUUUGCAGCAUAAAAUGAGUGUGCCUGAGCUUUGUCGCAAAUAUAGUGCUGUUGCUUGGUGUGGUAAGCUGAAUGCGAUAGCUUGUGCAUCAGAAACUUGUGCAAGAAUUCCCAGCUCCAAUGCAAACCCACCAUUUUGGAUCCCCAUACACGUGGUUAUCCCUGAGAGACCAACUGAAUGUGCAGUUUUCAAUGUCAUAGCAGAUUCUCCUCGUGAUUCUGUUCAGUUUAUCGAAUGGUCCCCUACUUCUUGCCCUCGUGCAUUAUUAAUAGCUAAUUUCCAUGGGAGGAUAACUAUCUGGACUCAACCUUCUCAAGGUCCAUCUAAUUUGGUGCGUGAUGCUAGCUGCUGGCAGCGUGAGCAUGAAUGGCGACAGGACAUUGCAGUUGUUACUAAAUGGCUAUCUGGGGUCUCUCCAUACAGGUGGCUUUCGUCAAAGUCCAGUACUCCCACAAACUCAAAGUCAGCUUUUGAGGAAAAAUUCCUUUCUCAGCAUUCUCAAACUUCAGCUAGAUGGCCAAAUUUCCUCUGUGUUUGUUCAGUUUUCUCAUCUGGUUCUGUUCAACUUCAUUGGUCCCAGUGGCCCCCAAGUCAGAAUAAUACAUCACCGAAGUGGUUUCGCACAAGCAAAGGACUCUUGGGUGCCGGCCCUAGUGGGAUUAUGGCUGCUGAUGCUAUUAUAACGGAUAGUGGUGCAAUGCAUGUUGCAGGUGUUCCGAUUGUAAACCCUUCAACUGUUGUUGUUUGGGAGGUUACUCCUGGCCCUGGAAAUGGAUUUCAAGCGACUCCGAUGGUGAGUGCUAGCAAUGGGGUCCCGCCUUCAGUCAAGCCUCCUAAUUGGUCUGGUUUUGCUCCUUUGGCUGCAUAUUUAUUCAGCUGGCAGGAGCAUCUGAUGUCUGAAGCAAUGCAAGGGAAAAAGCAUAUGGAUAAAGAUUUCGCUGACACUGUCUCACUUCAUUGUUCGCCAGUUUCAAAUUUUUCUGCGUAUGUGAGUCCUGAGGCUGCAGCUCAAUCUGCAGCAACUACCACUUGGGGUUCUGGAGUCAGUGCCGUUGCUUUUGAUCCGACUCGUGGUGGCUCUGUGAUUGCGGUUGUUAUAGUUGAGGGACAAUAUAUGUCCCCUUAUGAUCCAGAUGAGGGUCCUUUAAUCACGGGAUGGAGGGUGCAACGCUGGGAAUCAUCCCUUCAACCUGUCGUUCUUCAUCCAAUAUUUGGAAAUCCCACUUCUGGUUUUGGUGGGCAGGCACCCAUGCAAACUGUAUGGGUGUCCAAAGUGGAUACAAGCAUACCACCAACUAAUGAUUUUAAAAAUCUCCAAGCAGCUCCUGCAGUACCAAUCUCAGAUGCAAGAAAGGCAUCUGAUUCUGGUUCUGAGAAGACGAAAAGAGUCACCUUUGAUCCCUCUGAUCUGCCCAGCGAUGUGAGAACUCUUGCUCGAAUUGUUUAUUCUGCUCAUGGCGGCGAGAUUGCUAUUGCUUUUCUGCGGGGUGGAGUUCACAUUUUCUCUGGGCCAAACUUCACAGUUGUUGACAACUACCAGAUUAAUGUUGGAUCUGCAAUUGCUGCUCCUGCCUUCUCUUCCACAAGCUGCUGCUCAGCUUCAGUUUGGCAUGACACUAGCAAGGAUCGCACUGUAUUAAAGAUAAUUCGUGUUCUUCCUCCUGCUGUUCCAAGUAGUCAGGUGAAGGCUAACUCAGCAAUCUGGGAGCGUGCUAUUGCUGAAAGGUUUUGGUGGAGCCUUUUGGUUGGUGUUGAUUGGUGGGAUGCUGUUGGGUGUACACAGAGUGCUGCUGAGGAUGGCAUCGUUUCACUUAACAGUGUCAUUGCAGUCUUGGAUGCUGAUUUUCAUUCUCUUCCCUCUACACAGCACAGGCAGCAGUAUGGUCCUAGUCUGGACAGGAUAAAAUGUAGGCUACUGGAAGGUACAAAUGCUCAGGAGGUUAGGGCAAUGGUUCUUGACAUGCAAGCUAGGUUGCUGCUUGAUAUGCUCGGCAAAGGCAUUGAGUCAGCUUUGAUAAAUCCUUCAGCAUUAGUACCUGAACCAUGGCAGGCUUCUGGCGAGACAUUAUCUGGCAUUGAUCCUGAAGCAAUGACUGUUGAACCAAACCUUGUUCCGAGUAUUCAGGCUUAUGUUGAUGCAGUUCUUGAUCUAGCUUCACAUUUUAUCACACGUCUACGGCGUUAUGCAAGUUUCUGUCGCACACUGGCCAGUCACGCCGUUACAGCAGGCGCAGGCAGUAACCGCAAUACGGUGACUAGUCCUACUCAAAGUUCGGCAUCGCCCACACCAAAUCAGGGUGGUCAAAGUGGCGGUACAAGUUCUACUGGAAGCACUCAGAUGCAAGCUUGGGUACAAGGUGCCAUUGCUAAGAUUAGUAGCACAACUGAUGGAGUGUCCACUGCAACUUCAAACCCCAUAAGUGGUCCAUCUUCUUUCAUGCCAAUAAGCAUCAAUACUGGAACUUUUCCUGGAACCCCAGCAGUGAGGCUCAUCGGUGACUGCCAUUUCCUUCACAGAUUAUGCCAGCUUCUGCUUUUCUGUUUUUUCUUUCGGCGGCGAACUCAAGUACCUCGCUUUGCCGGAGGUACACAGAGAAAUCCCACUGAUACAAAUGCGCAAAAACUUCAGUCUGGUGCUCCUGGCAAGGUGGAGGAGAUCAACUCUGUUUCUUCAAAGCCAGCACCAGCUGCGGUUCGGUCGGAUGAAGGUCAGGCAGUUCGAGGUAGUCAGGUAGUGCCUGGAGCUAAAGCAGUCGAAGAGGGACCUGCUGGCAGGCACAGAGUAGGCAGUGGCAAUGCUGGCCAAGGAUACAGUUCUGAGGAGGUGAAGGUCCUUUUCCUCAUACUCAUGGAUCUGUGUCGGCGAACAGCAGCUCUGGUACACCCAUUGCCGGUUUCUCAAGUAGGAAGCAGCAAUAUCCAGGUGCGGUUGCAUUAUAUUGACGGCAAUUAUACUGUAUUGCCAGAGGUUGUAGAAGCAUCUCUUGGCCCGCAUAUGCAGAACAUGCCACGGCCCAGAGGUGCAGAUGCUGCUGGUCUGUUACUCCGAGAGUUAGAACUACACCCACCGUCUGAAGAGUGGCACAGGCGGAAUAUGUUUGGCGGACCCUGGUCUGAUCCAGAGGAUAUUGGUUCAGAGGAUACUUCUAAGCUUAACUCCACAAAUUCACUUGAUUUUAGCUCACUGGAAAAUUGUGAUGUUUAUUACGGAGCUCAUGGCCUUUGGCCGAGGAAGCGCAGACUGUCUGAAAGAGAUGCAGCUGUUGGCUUGAACACCUCUGCUGGCCUGGGAGCAUAUCUUGGCAUAAUGGGUUCUCGAAGAGAUGUUGUUACUGCAGUGUGGAAGACUGGUCUUGAAGGCGUUUGGUACAAGUGCAUAAGAUGUUUGCGGCAGACUUCAGCUUUGGCCUCCCCUGGUGCUGCAAAUCCACCAGAUCAAAAUGAAAGAGAGGCUUGGUGGAUCAGCCGUUGGGCCUAUGGCUGUCCGAUGUGUGGGGGGACAUGGGUUCGAGUUGUAUAGACGAGACUGCAAUCACAAAUGUUAAUUAGAUGGAGCUUUCCACUUUCAUGACAAUCAAAUCAAGGUGGUGCAUGCAUGACUGCAAUGUUAAUUAGCUGCGGCUUUCCACUUUCAUGACAAUCAAUUCAGGGCAAGCUCAUGCAGUAGCUGAUGUUGAAGAAAGCAGCACUCUUUGAUGGUAGUUUAUUUUAUGUUCCUUUUUGUAGUUGCUGGUUGGAGCUUGGAAGUAAAGAGGGGCCGUUAGCCUUGCAGAAGUGGAAAUUCGUCCGUUUGUCCUAUGCAUCAGCUGUCUGGUGCUUAGGUAACAGCGUUUAAGUUCCUCAGCUCGACAGCAACAGUUUUGGAAGGAAGGCUUGUGUUUUGGAAAAUGUUCAGGAGAGCUCCAUUAGUGAAGGUUCCCAGCAUUUCACAUAUAACAUUUCCUUUUCCCUUAGUGGAAGUAACAUUUCCUGUACAUUAUAGAUACGAGAAAUUGAUCAGGAUAGCAGGUGUGAAUGUAGUAGAUUCACGUCUGUUUGAGACAACAUUAAUCAUUUAUUAGUAUGAUGCCCUGGUUUUUCAA